UUACUACUACCUCCGUCACAUAUUAAGUGACCUAAAUUUGUCUAAAUAUGGACGUAUCUAUAUACUAAAAUACGUCUAGAUACAUGUAAUAUUUUCCGGCACUUAAUAUGGGACGGAGGGAGUAUUAU
Molecule: non-coding RNA, 128 nt
Organism: Brachypodium distachyon (stiff brome)
Lineage: Eukaryota; Viridiplantae; Streptophyta; Magnoliopsida; Poales; Poaceae
Source: Rfam